Molecule: ribosomal RNA, 425 nt
Filed under: uncultured bacterium
Lineage: Bacteria
Description: bacterial SSU rRNA
Rfam family: Bacterial small subunit ribosomal RNA
Source: RNAcentral
GUGGGGAAUCUUAGACAAUGGGGGAAACCCUGAUCUAGCCAUGCCGCGUGGACGAUGAAGGCCUUAGGGUUGUAAAGUCCUUUCAGCUGGGAAGAUAAUGACGGUACCAGCAGAAGAAGCCCCGGCUAACUCCGUGCCAGCAGCCGCGGUAAUACGGAGGGGGCUAGCGUUGUUCGGAAUUACUGGGCGUAAAGCGCACGUAGGCGGACUGAAAAGUUGGAGGUGAAAUCCCAGGGCUCAACCUUGGAACUGCCUUCAAAACUAUCAGUCUGGAGUUCGAGAGAGGUGAGUGGAAUUCCGAGUGUAGAGGUGAAAUUCGUAGAUAUUCGGAGGAACACCAGUGGCGAAGGCGGCUCACUGGCUCGAUACUGACGCUGAGGUGCGAAAGCGUGGGGAGCAAACAGGAUUAGAAACCCCAGUAGUCC